This 393-nucleotide ribosomal RNA is filed under the name uncultured bacterium. RNAcentral describes it as "partial 16S ribosomal RNA". It matches the Rfam family "Bacterial small subunit ribosomal RNA", at positions 523 to 918 of the family's 1533-position model. The record is from RNAcentral.
AUACGUAGGGGGCGAGCGUUGUCCGGAAUUACUGGGCGUAAAGGGUGCGUAGGCGGUUGAUUAAGUUGGAUGUGAAAUACCCGGGCUUAACUUGGGGGGUGCAUCCAAUACUGGUUGACUAGAGUGCAGGAGAGGGAAGCGGAAUUCCUAGUGUAGCGGUGAAAUGCGUAGAUAUUAGGAGGAACACCAGUGGCGAAGGCGGCUUGCUGGACAGUAACUGACGCUGAGGCACGAAAGCGUGGGGAGCAAACAGGAUUAGAUACCCUGGUAGUCCACGCUGUAAACGAUGAUGACUAACCGUCGGCGAUAGACAGCCGGUGGCCAAGCGAAAGCGAUAAGUCAUCCACCUGGGGAGUACGUCGGCAACGAUGAAACUCAAAGGAAUUGACGGGG